GGGUAUAGCUCAGUGGUAGAGUGCAUCCUUAGCAUGCAUGAGGUUCUGGGUUCCAUUCCCAGUACCUCCA
RNAcentral lists this transfer RNA (70 nucleotides) under Camelus bactrianus (Bactrian camel). It matches the Rfam family "tRNA". From Rfam's summary of the family: Transfer RNA (tRNA) molecules are approximately 80 nucleotides in length. Their secondary structure includes four short double-helical elements and three loops (D, anti-codon, and T loops). Lineage: Eukaryota; Metazoa; Chordata; Mammalia; Artiodactyla; Camelidae. RNAcentral also lists the same sequence under 2 other names. The record is from Rfam by way of RNAcentral.